Molecule: unclassified non-coding RNA, 238 nt
Filed under: Hevea brasiliensis (rubber tree)
Lineage: Eukaryota; Viridiplantae; Streptophyta; Magnoliopsida; Malpighiales; Euphorbiaceae
Source: RNAcentral
GGCGAGGACUCAAAUCGAAGAAGCUUUGGAUAAUGGAGAAUAUACAGCUCUGAUUGACUCCAUACGGCAGAGUUAUGACGAACAGAAAAUCAAACAGAUAAUUGUGGCUCUUAUUGAUUUCAAACUAGAGAAAAGCUAUGACGAAGAGCAAAUAAAACGGAUGAUAUUUUGUGCUAUAGCUUGCACAAAUAGACAUUCAAAGUAUCGCCCACAAAUGCGGAAGAUAAUUGGAGUUCUU